This 663-nucleotide ribosomal RNA is filed under the name uncultured bacterium. RNAcentral describes it as "bacterial SSU rRNA". It matches the Rfam family "Bacterial small subunit ribosomal RNA", at positions 159 to 809 of the family's 1533-position model. The record is from RNAcentral.
GAUGCUAAUACCGGAUAACAACACUAGACGCAUGUCUAGAGUUUGAAAGAUGGUUCUGCUAUCACUCUUGGAUGGACCUGCGGUGCAUUAGCUAGUUGGUAAGGUAACGGCUUACCAAGGCAAUGAUGCAUAGCCGAGUUGAGAGACUGAUCGGCCACAUUGGGACUGAGACACGGCCCAAACUCCUACGGGAGGCAGCAGUAGGGAAUCUUCCACAAUGGACGAAAGUCUGAUGGAGCAACGCCGCGUGAGUGAAGAAGGGUUUCGGCUCGUAAAGCUCUGUUGGUAGUGAAGAAAGAUAGAGGUAGUAACUGGCCUUUAUUUGACGGUAAUUACUUAGAAAGUCACGGCUAACUACGUGCCAGCAGCCGCGGUAAUACGUAGGUGGCAGGCGUUGUCCGGAUUUAUUGGGCGUAAAGCGAGUGCAGGCGGUCCAAUAAGUCUGAUGUGAAAGCCUUCGGCUCAACCGGAGAAUUGCAUCAGAAACUGUUGAACUUGAGUGCAGAAGAGGAGAGUGGAACUCCAUGUGUAGCGGUGGAAUGCGUAGAUAUAUGGAAGAACACCAGUGGCGAAGGCGGCUCUCUGGUCUGCAACUGACGCUGAGGCUCGAAAGCAUGGGUAGCGAACAGGAUUAGAUACCCUGGUAGUCCAUGCCGUAAACGA